GUGACCUGCGGAGGAUCAUUAUCGUACAAACAUGUGUGAGGCGUGCGAGGGCUGUCGCUGACUUUUUGAGACACAAAAGUUGUGCACGCCGGAGUGCGUCCUCUCACAUAAAAUCCAUCUCACCCUUUUGUGCACCACCGCGUGGGCGCCCUUUGGGAUCGAAUCGAUCCAGGAGGGGGCUUGCGUUUUCACACAAACCCCUUUUAAAAAGUGUCAGAAUGACCCCACUUUGCGAUACGCAAUCAAUACAACUUUCAACAACGGAUCUCUUGGCUCUCGCAUCGAUGAAGAACGCAGCGAAGUGCGAUACGUAAUGUGAAUUGCACAAUUCAGUGAAUCAUCGAAUCUUUGAACGCACCUUGCGCCCCUUGGUAUUCCGAGGGGCACCACCCGUUUGAGUGUCGUGAAAAUCUUCAACCUUUCUCGGUUUUCUUCUGGACACCGAAGGAAGGCUUGGGACUUUGGAGGCCUUUGCUGGCAUCUUCUCUCUUCUUGAAAACCAGCUCCUCUUAAAACAAAUAACGGGGUCCUCUUUGCCGAUCCUCGACAUGGGAUAAAAUGUUUCCAUGACUUGGUUUCUGGCUCUGUUGCCUUUGGGACCCGCUUCUAACCGUCUCGACCAAACGACGUUUGGGCGCGUCUCCCUUCUCGGGAAACCCUCUCAACCCCACGAACCCUUGACCUCAAAUCGGGUGAAACUACCCGCUGAACUUAAACAUAUCAAUAAGCGGAGGAAAAGAAACUAACAAGGAUUCCCCUAGUAACUGCGAGUGAAGCGGGAAAAGCUCAAAUUUAAAAUCUGGUGGUCUUUGGCCAUCCGAGUUGUAAUUUAGAGAAGCGUCUUCCGCGCCGGACCGUGCACAAGUCUCCUGGAAUGGAGCGUCAUAGAGGGUGAGAAUCCCGUCUUUGGCACGGAUGCCUGUGCUUCUGUGAUGCGCUCUCAAAGAGUCGAGUUGUUUGGGAAUGCAGCUCAAAAUGGGUGGGUGAACUCCAUCUAAAGCUAAAUAUUGGCGAGAGACCGAUAGCGAACAAGUACCGUGAGGGGAAAGAUGAAAAGCACUUUGGAAAGAGAGUGAAACAGUACGUGAAAUUGUUGAAAGGGAAACGCUUGAACGUCAGUCGCGUCGACCGAGACUCAGCCUUGCCUCGGCUUGGUGUACUUCUCGGCCCGCCGGGUCAGCAUCAAUUUUGCCCCUCGGAUAAUGGCAAGGGAAAGGUGGCACCUUUGCGGGUGUGUUAUAGUCUCCUGUCGCAUGCGAGGGGUGGGAUUGAGGACCUCAGCGCGCACCUUGGCGUCGGGGCUUCGGCCCACGUCACGCGCCUAGG
RNAcentral lists this ribosomal RNA (1326 nucleotides) under uncultured Lactarius. RNAcentral describes it as "eukaryotic LSU rRNA". The stretch from base 679 to 1326 matches the Rfam family "Eukaryotic large subunit ribosomal RNA", at positions 1 to 646 of the family's 3401-position model. Lineage: Eukaryota; Fungi; Basidiomycota; Agaricomycetes; Russulales; Russulaceae. The record is from RNAcentral.